RNAcentral lists this long non-coding RNA (764 nucleotides) under Neogobius melanostomus (round goby). RNAcentral describes it as "lncRNA (ENSNMLG00000022266.1)". Lineage: Eukaryota; Metazoa; Chordata; Actinopteri; Gobiiformes; Gobiidae. The record is from RNAcentral.
UUUUACUUUUAGGAGGCAAGGAGCACAUGGCUUCAUUGAUAAAAGCUAUGAUGAGAAAAUUGCCUGUUUUUGGAGUCUAAACAUGAUGCAGCUGCUUGGAGAAUAAAAGCUAAGGACAGACAACACAGCAGUAUCACCUGAUGUUGCUGAUAGACCUCCAGCCAACUUCUACAAAGACACACUUCGGAUGCAAAUGACUGGGAACAAUAAGCUCGGUGAUGGACAGCUAAUGGGUGAACUGAUGAUGAUGAUCUGCACUGGCGUUGACCUGUCACCAAUGAUACUGCUACAGAAACAAAACAAAAAUGUUUCUUCCGUUCUCCGAAGUGACACACUUACAAGAGUACGGUGCAAAGAGAGCCUGCCCGGUGUUCUGUUGUGCACCCUUGUCGAGAUGUGCAUAUCCUCACUCAAAACAACGGCUUUGAGACGUGUGAGAGAGAAAUGCUCCCUUUUCUUUCACAAAAUGCACUCCUUUUGUCAUUAUAUGUUUUACUUUAUUUAAUGUUAAAACUUGAAGAGUUUCUAUAAUUUGUACAGUGCUCCAGCUGUAAAUGUAAGUCACAUGAAGCUUAUGAUUUCUUGUUGUUCAUGUUUACCUUAUAUUGCAUUUAGCCAAUGAAUCAAAAUAGCUUUAUGAUAUUACCAAUACAACAUCAUGUUAUGGGCUCUUUUUGCCGCAGACAUUUAGAUCUAGAGCAUGCGUUUCUCUUUCAUAAAUAUUCAAAAGUAUUCUAGUUUUAACUUAAGUAAAUAAGCAGGAA